RNAcentral lists this ribosomal RNA (604 nucleotides) under uncultured Hypocreales. RNAcentral describes it as "SSU rRNA". It matches the Rfam family "Eukaryotic small subunit ribosomal RNA", at positions 748 to 1354 of the family's 1831-position model. The record is from RNAcentral. Lineage: Eukaryota; Fungi; Ascomycota; Sordariomycetes; Hypocreales.
GGGGAACCAGGACUUUUACUGUGAAAAAAUUAGAGUGCUCCAGGCAGGCCUAUGCUCGAAUACAUUAGCAUGGAAUAAUAGAAUAGGACGUGUGGUUCUAUUYUGUUGGUUUCUAGGACCGCCGUAAUGAUUAAUAGGGACAGUCGGGGGCAUCAGUAUUCAAUUGUCAGAGGUGAAAUUCUUGGAUUUAUUGAAGACUAACUACUGCGAAAGCAUUUGCCAAGGAUGUUUUCAUUAAUCAGGAACAAAAGUUAGGGGAUCGAAGACGAUCAGAUACCGUCGUAGUCUUAACCAUAAACUAUGCCGACUAGGGAUCGGACGGUGUUAUUUUUUGACCCGUUCGGCACCUUACGAGAAAUCAAAGUGCUUGGGCUCCAGGGGGAGUAUGGUCGCAAGGCUGAAACUUAAAGAAAUUGACGGAAGGGCACCACCAGGGGUGGAGCCUGCGGCUUAAUUUGACUCAACACGGGGAAACUCACCAGGUCCAGACACAAUGAGGAUUGACAGAUUGAGAGCUCUUUCUUGAUUUUGUGGGUGGUGGUGCAUGGCCGUUCUUAGUUGGUGGAGUGAUUUGUCUGCUUAAUUGCGAUAACGAACGAGACCU